GUUUAGCACCUGUAGUCCCAGCUACUCGGGAGGCUGAGGCCGGAGGAUCGCUUGAGUCUAGGAGUUCUGGGCUGUUGUGCGCUAUGCUGAUUGGGUGUCCACUUUAAGUUCAGCAUCAAUAUGGUGACCAUCCGGGAGCGGGGGACCGCCAGGUUGCCUAAGGAGGGGUGAACCGACCCAGGUCGGAAACGGAGCAGGUCAAAACUCCCGUGCUGAUCAGCAAUUCUGUUACUUAAGUCAAAGAAAAUCCCAAAUGGCUUUAAAAUAAGGAUUACAGAAAUCAGGCAUCAG
Molecule: unclassified non-coding RNA, 291 nt
Organism: Oryctolagus cuniculus (rabbit)
Lineage: Eukaryota; Metazoa; Chordata; Mammalia; Lagomorpha; Leporidae
Rfam family: Metazoan signal recognition particle RNA
About the family: The signal recognition particle (SRP) is a universally conserved ribonucleoprotein. It is involved in the co-translational targeting of proteins to membranes.
Source: Ensembl